CAUGCCGUAAACGGUGGGAACUAGGUGUGGGGUCCAUUCCACGGAUUCUGCGCCGAAGCUAACGCAUUAAGUUCCCCGCCUGGGGAGUACGGCCGCAAGGCUAAAACUCAAAGGAAUUGACGGGGGCCCGCACAAGCGGCGGAGCAUGCGGAUUAAUUCGAUGCAACGCGAAGAACCUUACCAAGGCUUGACAUAUAUUCGAAGCUAUUAGAGAUAGUAGUGCCUUUUGGGCGGAUAUACAGGUGGUGCAUGGUUGUCGUCAGCUCGUGUCGUGAGAUGUUGGGUUAAGUCCCGCAACGAGCGCAACCCUUGUUCUAUGUUGCCAGCACGUUAUGGUGGGGACUCAUAGGAGACUGCCGGGGUCAACUCG
This 370-nucleotide ribosomal RNA is filed under the name uncultured bacterium. RNAcentral describes it as "bacterial SSU rRNA". It matches the Rfam family "Bacterial small subunit ribosomal RNA", at positions 796 to 1165 of the family's 1533-position model. The record is from RNAcentral.